AGUCCCAGCCACGUGAGGCUCUCCCUGGGAUGUGAGGGUCGUCUCGUCUGUUUACACGGGGGCCACAGUGCAGAUCCCAGCCCGGGCAGGGGAGGGGCAAAUCUAUGCCCACUCCAAGCUUCCACUUCUGCCCGCCUCAAAGUGCCGGAGACUCCGGCACCUCUGCGUUCCUCCUUCCCGGUAGGAACAGAAAGCUGGGAAAGGGCUGGGGUGGCAAGGAAGAGCCCCAGGAAGACGGGAGUGGCUCUCCCCACUCCCUGGAGGACAUCCCUCCCCCAAGCCCAUGGGCCGCCUUCUCCAGGGACGCCUCCCUGUCCCACCCACCGGGCAAGGUGGGCCCAGCAGGGUCUCCUUUUCACCGUGCGCCCCCUCCUGUGGCCGGGUCCUGGGCUGAUGACUUCACAUGCUGCUUUUACAAGUCAGGUUUAUUGCGGUAUCACGUACACACAUAAGGCUCACCCCUUUUCGAUGCACAGCCGACGACUUGCUUUGCGUCCUCCAGAAUUGUCCUGUGAGUGACUCCCGCAGGAUGGAGACUUUUGUGUCUGGCUUCCUUCACUUCGCAGCAGGCUUCGCGGGACCCGUGUGGUGGCACCAGCGUCCUGCCCUUGGUGCUGCUGAGCUGUAGGUUGUGGGGCAGGUGGAGUGGCUCUGCAGAAAGCCAUGAAAGAGGAUCCUGAAAGAGCAAGGGCGGCCUCCAGGUGAAGGUGGUGGGCGGCCUCCAGGUGAAGGCGGCCUCCAGGUGAAGGUGGUCAGCACCCUCCCUUUGGCCAAGAGGAGACUGCAGUUUCAACUCAAAGAUUAUUCCUGAAUGAUGCAGCAAGCUUAAACUUCCUUAAAAACAAACCUCUGGGAAGAGGAAAACGAGGCAAGAUGCUGAGAAAAAGUCAUCUCCCACUCUGCCCUUCUCUGGCAAAUCGAAGUGUCCUCUUGUGGGAGGCGGUGGGCAGCGACACUCCUGUUGGACGUCAGUGCUCUCGGGCCCGGCCACCCCGGAGCAGAACUCACUUAGGGCCUGGUGCCCCUGUGCUCAGUUCUCAGAACGCCGGAGUGCCCCAUUCAUCACCUGCAGCCCCGUUCAUAGCCUGCAGCUCCCCUCCUUCCUCUCCUCCCGGUCUUCAGGGAGCACCCCCAGCUCCCCUCCCCACUCUCAAACCCUCCUCCUCCCUCCCCUCUCUCAGUUCCCUGUUUGCAGGAUCUCUUCCUGCCCACUCUCCAGCCCAGGUCCUCCCCUCUCAUCUCCAAUUCUGCUUCACGGGCCAUGACAGCAGGCAGGCCAUGUCCUGCUCUCAGCAGUUUGAUCGAUGGACUAAGGAGAUCACUCCUAUGAGAGUGAAAAAGUCAAAUGUGCCUGAGAUUCGGAUGGGGAGCUCUCAAAGCUACGGAUUGCAAGAGUCAACACCGCCUCAAAAGUACAAGGCCGGCCGGGUGCAGUGGCUCACACCUGUAAUCCCAGCACUUUGGGAGACUGAGGCGGGUGGAUCACCUGAGGUCAGGAGCUCAAGACCAGCCUGACCAACAUGGUGAAAUCCCGUCUCUAUUAAAAAUACAAAAAAGAUUAGCCGGGUGUGGUGGUGCAUGCUUGUAGUCCCAGCUACUCGGGAGGCUGAGGCAGGGGGAGCACUUGAACCCGGGAGGUGGAGGUUGCAGUGAGCCGAGAUUGCGCCAUUGCACUCCAGCCUGGGCAACAGAGUGACACCCUGCCUCAAAAAAAUAAAAAAAUAAAAGUACGAGGCCCGGUUUAAAUGCAGGAGGAAUCUGGUGAGCGAGUUUCACUCUGAUGCAACAGAAAAGCCAAGCCAAGCCUUGGCUGUGCCUGGUCUUGGCCGGGGAGCCACAGGCAGGGUCUGCUGGUUUCGGUGUCAGGGGCACAUCCCCAGGACCACGUCUGAGAUGGGAAGUGCCUUGAUGGAAAACUGAUACCUUUUUCUUUCCGAGUAACUUUAGAACAUGUCGCUUCAAAUAUAACUAAUAUCCUGAUUUCAGUGGACUUGCAUGGAAGGAAACGCAAGUUCAUUUGCCAGUGGGGGGUGAGGACUGGGAGAGUGGGGAGCAGGGUGGGGAAGAGGGGAGCAUUCCACAAGCCGCAAGAGCCUGGACACCUCCAGCCUUCAAUAAAUAGCAUUUGAAUUUGCUGUGCCUAA
Pan troglodytes (chimpanzee) is the source of this 2144-nucleotide long non-coding RNA. RefSeq lists it as uncharacterized. NCBI's taxonomy places the organism in Eukaryota, Metazoa, Chordata, Mammalia, Primates, Hominidae. The transcript is spliced from 4 exons. The record is from RefSeq and is a predicted model, not a curated record.